AGAGUUUGAUCCUGGCUCAGAUUGAACGCUGGCGGCAUGCCUUACACAUGCAAGUCGAACGGCAGCACGGGUGCUUGCACCUGGUGGCGAGUGGCGAACGGGUGAGUAAUAUAUCGGAACGUACCCUAGAGUGGGGGAUAACGUAGCGAAAGUUACGCUAAUACCGCAUACGAUCUACGGAUGAAAGUGGGGGAUCGCAAGACCUCAUGCUCAUGGAGCGGCCGAUAUCUGAUUAGCUAGUUGGUGGGGUAAAAGCCUACCAAGGCGACGAUCAGUAGCUGGUCUGAGAGGACGACCAGCCACACUGGAACUGAGACACGGUCCAGACUCCUACGGGAGGCAGCAGUGGGGAAUUUUGGACAAUGGGGGCAACCCUGAUCCAGCAAUGCCGCGUGAGUGAAGAAGGCCUUCGGGUUGUAAAGCUCUUUUGUCAGGGAAGAAACGGGAUUUUCUAAUACAAAGUCCUAAUGACGGUACCUGAAGAAUAAGCACCGGCUAACUACGUGCCAGCAGCCGCGGUAAUACGUAGGGUGCAAGCGUUAAUCGGAAUUACUGGGCGUAAAGCGUGCGCAGGCGGUUGUGCAAGACAGAUGUGAAAUCCCCGGGCUCAACCUGGGAAUUGCAUUUGUGACUGCACGGCUAGAGUGUGUCAGAGGGGGGUAGAAUUCCACGUGUAGCAGUGAAAUGCGUAGAGAUGUGGAGGAAUACCGAUGGCGAAGGCAGCCCCCUGGGAUAACACUGACGCUCAUGCACGAAAGCGUGGGGAGCAAACAGGAUUAGAUACCCUGGUAGUCCACGCCCUAAACGAUGUCUACUAGUUGUCGGGUCUUAAUUGACUUGGUAACGCAGCUAACGCGUGAAGUAGACCGCCUGGGGAGUACGGUCGCAAGAUUAAAACUCAAAGGAAUUGACGGGGACCCGCACAAGCGGUGGAUGAUGUGGAUUAAUUCGAUGCAACGCGAAAAACCUUACCUACCCUUGACAUGUACGGAACUUACCAGGGAUGGUUUGGUGCUCGAAAGAGAACCGUAACACAGGUGCUGCAUGGCUGUCGUCAGCUCGUGUCGUGAGAUGUUGGGUUAAGUCCCGCAACGAGCGCAACCCUUGUCAUUAGUUGCUACGAAAGGGCACUCUAAUGAGACUGCCGGUGACAAACCGGAGGAAGGUGGGGAUGACGUCAAGUCCUCAUGGCCCUUAUGGGUAGGGCUUCACACGUCAUACAAUGGUACAUACAGAGGGCCGCCAACCCGCGAGGGGGAGCUAAUCCCAGAAAGUGUAUCGUAGUCCGGAUUGUAGUCUGCAACUCGACUACAUGAAGUUGGAAUCGCUAGUAAUCGCGGAUCAUCAUGUCGCGGUGAAUACGUUCCCGGGUCUUGUACACACCGCCCGUCACACCAUGGGAGCGGGUUUCACCAGAAGUAGGUAGCCUAACCGCAAGGAGGGCGCUUACCACGGUGGGAUUCGUGACUGGGGUGAAGUCGUAACAAGGUA
This 1491-nucleotide ribosomal RNA is filed under the name metagenome. Its description in RNAcentral is "bacterial SSU rRNA". It matches the Rfam family "Bacterial small subunit ribosomal RNA". The record is from RNAcentral.